RNAcentral lists this ribosomal RNA (492 nucleotides) under uncultured bacterium. RNAcentral's name for it is "partial 16S ribosomal RNA". It matches the Rfam family "Bacterial small subunit ribosomal RNA", at positions 29 to 507 of the family's 1533-position model. The record is from RNAcentral.
AGUGAACGCUGGCGGUAGGCCUAACACAUGCAAGUCGAACGGCAGCACAGUAAGAGCUUGCUCUUACGGGUGGCGAGUGGCGGACGGGUGAGGAAUACAUCGGAAUCUACUUUUACGUGGGGGAUAACGUAGGGAAACUUACGCUAAUACCGCAUACGACCUACGGGUGAAAGCAGGGGAUCUUCGGACCUUGCGCGAUUGAAUGAGCCGAUGUCGGAUUGGCUAGUUGGCGGGGUAAAGGCCCACCAAGGCGACGAUCCGUAGCUGGUCUGAGAGGAUGCUCAGCCACACUGGAACUGAGACACGGUCCAGACUCCUACGGGAGGCAGCAGUGGGGAAUAUUGGACAAUGGGCGCAAGCCUGCUCCAGCCAUACCGCGUGGGUGAAGAAGGCCUUCGGGUUGUAAAGCCCUCUUGUUGGGAAAGAAAAGCAGCAGGUUAAUACCCCGCUGUUCUGACGGUACCCAAAGAAUAAGCACCGGCUAACUUCGUG